GACGAACUGUCCAAACGUUGUUCGGAUUCAUUGGGCGUAAAGGGUGCGUAGGCGGCGCGGUAAGUCGGGUGUGAAAUCUUGGAGCUUAACUCCGAAACUGCAUUCGAUACUGCCGUGCUUGAGGACUGGAGAGGAGACUGGAAUUUACGGUGUAGCGGUGAAAUGCGUAGAUAUCGUAAGGAAGACCAGUGGCGAAGGCGGGUCUCUGGACAGUUCCUGACGCUGAGGCACGAAGGCCAGGGGAGCAAACGGG
Molecule: ribosomal RNA, 253 nt
Filed under: uncultured bacterium
Lineage: Bacteria
Description: partial 16S ribosomal RNA
Rfam family: Bacterial small subunit ribosomal RNA
Source: RNAcentral